This 20-nucleotide unclassified non-coding RNA is filed under the name Chlamydomonas reinhardtii. RNAcentral describes it as "small RNA Cre_3009". Lineage: Eukaryota; Viridiplantae; Chlorophyta; Chlorophyceae; Chlamydomonadales; Chlamydomonadaceae. The record is from RNAcentral.
UGCAGCAGCGCGCAGAUGUG